Molecule: ribosomal RNA, 647 nt
Filed under: uncultured bacterium
Lineage: Bacteria
Description: bacterial SSU rRNA
Rfam family: Bacterial small subunit ribosomal RNA (bases 1-535)
Source: RNAcentral
CCUACGGGAGGCAGCAGUGAGGAAUAUUGGACAAUGGGCGCAAGCCUGAUCCAGCCAUGCCGCGUGCAGGAAGACGGUCCUAUGGAUUGUAAACUGCUUUUAUACAGGAAGAAACACCUCUACGUGUAGAGACUUGACGGUACUGUAUGAAUAAGCAUCGGCUAACUCCGUGCCAGCAGCCGCGGUAAUACGGAGGAUGCAAGCGUUAUCCGGAAUCAUUGGGUUUAAAGGGUCCGUAGGCGGUUUAAUAAGUCAGUGGUGAAAGCCCAUCGCUCAACGAUGGAACGGCCAUUGAUACUGUUAAACUUGAAUUAUUAGGAAGUAACUAGAAUAUGUAGUGUAGCGGUGAAAUGCUUAGAGAUUACAUGGAAUACCAAUUGCGAAGGCAGGUUACUACUAAUAUAUUGACGCUGAUGGACGAAAGCGUGGGGAGCGAACAGGAUUAGAUACCCUGGUAGUCCACGCCGUAAACGAUGGAUACUAGCUGUUCGGAGCAGUCUGNGUGGNGUAGAGAAGUAGAGUAAGUAUACCCACCCGUCGGGGUAGGUACGGUUCGUCGAAGAAGUAGAAACGUAACGAAAGUAAAGUUAAGUACGGACGUGUAGACGUACGACCGACGGACGGACGACGACGGGGAGGGAGGGAGG